GUGAUGCUCAUGUCAUCUGAAGUGAUGUUCCAUCAAUGAAAUCUCCUCCCGUUCAAUUGACGCACUACACCCGCUCCCUACGCGCCACCUGACUUGGAUAACAAAAGCAGUAAAAGCUUCUAGUGCACCGGAAGUGACCCAUCAUGCAGCCGGAAGUGAUGCCCUUGCCACCUGAAGUGAUGUUCCAUCAACGAUUCCUCCUCCCGUUCCAUUGACGGAGUCCUACACACUGUCUCUUCGCACCAGCUGGAUUGGCUUCUUCUGCACCGGAAGUGACCCAUCAUGCAACCGGAAGUGAUGCCCUUGCCACCUGAAGUGAUGUUCCAUCAAUUAUUCCUCCUCCCGUUCCAUUGACGGAGUCCUACACCCUGUCUCUUCGCACCAGCUGGAUUGGGUAACAAAAGCAGUAAAAGAUGAGUUUCUUUUUACCCCACUUCUAUGUAAUUGAAAUUGUUUGAAAUCUACCAAACUAUUUCACGUUUUCAGUUAA
Long non-coding RNA from Mya arenaria, 490 nucleotides. RefSeq lists it as uncharacterized. The transcript is spliced from 3 exons. The record is from RefSeq and is a predicted model, not a curated record. NCBI's taxonomy places the organism in Eukaryota, Metazoa, Mollusca, Bivalvia, Myida, Myidae.